GACGAACGCUGGAGGCGUGCUUAACACAUGCAAGUCGAACGAUGAAAUGGAGCUUGCUCCAUGGAUUAGUGGCGAACGGGUGAGUAACACGUGAAUAACCUGCCCUUAAUUUUGGAAUAACCCAGGGAAACCUGGGCUAAUACCGGAUAAGUAAACCUGUGGCAUCACAUGGUUUUGGAAAGUUUUUCGAUUAAGGAUGGAUUCGCGGCCUAUCAGCUUGUUGGUGGGGUAAUGGCUCCCCAAGGCGACGACGGGAAGCCGGCCUGAGAGGUGAACGGCCACACUGGGACUGAGACACGGCCCAGACUCCUACGGGAGGCAGCAGUGGGGAAUAUUGCGCAAUGGACGAAAGUCUGACGCAGCGACGCCUCGUGAGGGACGAAGGUCUUCGGAUUGUAAACCUCUUUCAGCAGGGACGAAGCGAAAGUGACGGUACCUGCAGAAGAAGCACCGGCUAACUAUGUGCCAGCCGCCGCCGUAA
This 481-nucleotide ribosomal RNA is filed under the name uncultured bacterium. Its description in RNAcentral is "partial 16S ribosomal RNA". It matches the Rfam family "Bacterial small subunit ribosomal RNA", at positions 28 to 523 of the family's 1533-position model. The record is from RNAcentral.